UGGGGAUGUAGCUCAGUGGUAGAGUGCUUGCCUAGCAUGCAUGAGGCCCUGGGUUCAAUCCCAGUACUAA
Molecule: transfer RNA, 70 nt
Filed under: Marmota monax (woodchuck)
Lineage: Eukaryota; Metazoa; Chordata; Mammalia; Rodentia; Sciuridae
Description: tRNA.Ala
Rfam family: tRNA (bases 7-66)
About the family: Transfer RNA (tRNA) molecules are approximately 80 nucleotides in length.
Source: RNAcentral